GGGUUGUGAGGUUAAGCGACUAAGCGUACACGGUGGAUGCCCUGGCAGUCAGAGGCGAUGAAGGACGUGCUAAUCUGCGAUAAGCGUCGGUAAGGUGAUAUGAACCGUUAUAACCGGCGAUUUCCGAAUGGGGAAACCCAGUGUGUUUCGACACACUAUCAUUAACUGAAUCCAUAGGUUAAUGAGGCGAACCGGGGGAACUGAAACAUCUAAGUACCCCGAGGAAAAGAAAUCAACCGAGAUUCCCCCAGUAGCGGCGAGCGAACGGGGAGCAGCCCAGAGCCUGAAUCAGUGUGUGUGUUAGUGGAAGCGUCUGGAAAGGCGCGCGAUACAGGGUGACAGCCCCGUACACAAAAAUGCACAUGCUGUGAGCUCGAUGAGUAGGGCGGGACACGUGGUAUCCUGUCUGAAUAUGGGGGGACCAUCCUCCAAGGCUAAAUACUCCUGACUGACCGAUAGUGAACCAGUACCGUGAGGGAAAGGCGAAAAGAACCCCGGCGAGGGGAGUGAAAAAGAACCUGAAACCGUGUACGUACAAGCAGUGGGAGCACGCUUAGGCGUGUGACUGCGUACCUUUUGUAUAAUGGGUCAGCGACUUAUAUUCUGUAGCAAGGUUAACCGAAUAGGGGAGCCGAAGGGAAACCGAGUCUUAACUGGGCGUUAAGUUGCAGGGUAUAGACCCGAAACCCGGUGAUUCAGCCAUGGGCAGGUUGAAGGUUGGGUAACACUAACUGGAGGACCGAACCGACUAAUGUUGAAAAAUUAGCGGAUGACUUGUGGCUGGGGGUGAAAGGCCAAUCAAACCGGGAGAUAGCUGGUUCUCCCCGAAAGCUAUUUAGGUAGCGCCUCGUGAAUUCAUCUCCGGGGGUAGAGCACUGUUUCGGCAAGGGGGUCAUCCCGACUUACCAACCCGAUGCAAACUGCGAAUACCGGAGAAUGUUAUCACGGGAGACACACGGCGGGUGCUAACGUCCGUCGUGAAGAGGGAAACAACCCAGACCGCCAGCUAAGGUCCCAAAGUCAUGGUUAAGUGGGAAACGAUGUGGGAAGGCCCAGACAGCCAGGAUGUUGGCUUAGAAGCAGCCAUCAUUUAAAGAAAGCGUAAUAGCUCACUGGUCGAGUCGGCCUGCGCGGAAGAUGUAACGGGGCUAAACCAUGCACCGAAGCUGCGGCAGCGACGCUUAUGCGUUGUUGGGUAGGGGAGCGUUCUGUAAGCCUGCGAAGGUGUGCUGUGAGGCAUGCUGGAGGUAUCAGAAGUGCGAAUGCUGACAUAAGUAACGAUAAAGCGGGUGAAAAGCCCGCUCGCCGGAAGACCAAGGGUUCCUGUCCAACGUUAAUCGGGGCAGGGUGAGUCGACCCCUAAGGCGAGGCCGAAAGGCGUAGUCGAUGGGAAACAGGUUAAUAUUCCUGUACUUGGUGUUACUGCGAAGGGGGGACGGAGAAGGCUAUGUUGGCCGGGCGACGGUUGUCCCGGUUUAAGCGUGUAGGCUGGUUUUCCAGGCAAAUCCGGAAAAUCAAGGCUGAGGCGUGAUGACGAGGCACUACGGUGCUGAAGCAACAAAUGCCCUGCUUCCGGAAAAGCCUCUAAGCAUCAGGUAACAUCAAAUCGUACCCCAAACCGACACAGGUGGUCAGGUAGAGAAUACCAAGGCGCUUGAGAGAACUCGGGUGAAGGAACUAGGCAAAAUGGUGCCGUAACUUCGGGAGAAGGCACGCUGAUAUGUAGGUGAAGUCCCUCGCGGAUGGAGCUGAAAUCAGUCGAAGAUACCAGCUGGCUGCAACUGUUUAUUAAAAACACAGCACUGUGCAAACACGAAAGUGGACGUAUACGGUGUGACGCCUGCCCGGUGCCGGAAGGUUAAUUGAUGGGGUUAGCCGCAAGGCGAAGCUCUUGAUCGAAGCCCCGGUAAACGGCGGCCGUAACUAUAACGGUCCUAAGGUAGCGAAAUUCCUUGUCGGGUAAGUUCCGACCUGCACGAAUGGCGUAAUGAUGGCCAGGCUGUCUCCACCCGAGACUCAGUGAAAUUGAACUCGCUGUGAAGAUGCAGUGUACCCGCGGCAAGACGGAAAGACCCCGUGAACCUUUACUAUAGCUUGACACUGAACAUUGAGCCUUGAUGUGUAGGAUAGGUGGGAGGCUUGGAAGUGUGGACGCCAGUCUGCAUGGAGCCGACCUUGAAAUACCACCCUUUAAUGUUUGAUGUUCUAACGUUGACCCGUAAUCCGGGUUGCGGACAGUGUCUGGUGGGUAGUUUGACUGGGGCGGUCUCCUCCUAAAGAGUAACGGAGGAGCACGAAGGUUGGCUAAUCCUGGUCGGACAUCAGGAGGUUAGUGCAAUGGCAUAAGCCAGCUUGACUGCGAGCGUGACGGCGCGAGCAGGUGCGAAAGCAGGUCAUAGUGAUCCGGUGGUUCUGAAUGGAAGGGCCAUCGCUCAACGGAUAAAAGGUACUCCGGGGAUAACAGGCUGAUACCGCCCAAGAGUUCAUAUCGACGGCGGUGUUUGGCACCUCGAUGUCGGCUCAUCACAUCCUGGGGCUGAAGUAGGUCCCAAGGGUAUGGCUGUUCGCCAUUUAAAGUGGUACGCGAGCUGGGUUUAGAACGUCGUGAGACAGUUCGGUCCCUAUCUGCCGUGGGCGCUGGAGAACUGAGGGGGGCUGCUCCUAGUACGAGAGGACCGGAGUGGACGCAUCACUGGUGUUCGGGUUGUCAUGCCAAUGGCACUGCCCGGUAGCUAAAUGCGGAAGAGAUAAGUGCUGAAAGCAUCUAAGCACGAAACUUGCCCCGAGAUGAGUUCUCCCUGACUCCUUGAGAGUCCUGAAGGAACGUUGAAGACGACGACGUUGAUAGGCCGGGUGUGUAAGCGCAGCGAUGCGUUGAGCUAACCGGUACUAAUGAACCGUGAGGCUUAACCUUACAACGCCGAAG
This 2926-nucleotide ribosomal RNA is filed under the name Escherichia coli. RNAcentral's name for it is "23S ribosomal RNA". It matches the Rfam family "Bacterial large subunit ribosomal RNA". The record is from RNAcentral. Lineage: Bacteria; Pseudomonadati; Pseudomonadota; Gammaproteobacteria; Enterobacterales; Enterobacteriaceae.